GAAUUCCUAUCUCACUUUCCUCGGCUUGAGUUUCUCUGUGGGCAAUGGCUCCGGACUCAGGUCCCCUUCCUGAAGAGCCGCUCUUAAAGGUGCUACCCUUAGACGCUAAGGACAGGGGCACUCAGCGCUGUCGCUUGGGCCCGUCCGCCCUCCGCGCUUUGGGCGCGCACUUGGGCUCGGCGGUGAAGAUCUCUCUGCCUGACGGCGGCUCCUGCGUCUGCACUGCCUGGCUGCGGCGGGACGGAGCAGACGGCUUUGUUCAACUGGAUCCGCAGUGCGCGAGCCCCGGGGCGGCCGUGGAGGCUUCAGGGUUCCGGGGUAAUCUCCGCUUAAGCAGCCUCCGCCUGGUGUCCUGCCCGUCGCUGCGGCACCUCAGUGUGUGGCCGGUGUUGCGGGAGGGGGCGGGCGCGCCCGGGGCCUCGAAUCCAGCCGCGGUACUGGAGGCGGCGCAGGAGCUUCUCAGGAACCGACCUGUCUCCCGGGGCCACGUGGUGACCGCUCCGCCGGGCGCCCCGGGUCCCGUAGCCGCGCUGCACAUCGUCAGCGGGGCGCCCAGCCCGGAUCCGGCCGGGCUAGUCACUCCUCGCACCCACAUCGGUCUCAGCGGGGUGCCUCCGUCGGAAGCGGAGCCACGGCCCGAGGUGCCCUUGGGGGGCCUUUCGGAGGCGGUCGACUCGCUGCGGGAGCUCCUCAGCCUGCCGCUCCGCUACCCUCGCACCUUGGCGGCCCUGGGGCUGGCAGUGCCUCGCGGGGUGCUCCUGGCGGGUCCCCCCGGAGUGGGCAAGACUCAGCUAGUGCGGGCCGUGGUCCGGGAAGCGGGCGCGGAGCUGCUGGCAGUGAGCGCCCCCGCGCUACAGGGCGCCCGGCCCGGGGAGACCGAGGAGAACGUGAGGCAGGUCUUCCGGCGCGCGCGGGAGCUGGCCAGCCGCAGACCCACCCUCCUCUUCCUGGACGAGUUGGACGCCCUGUGUCCCCGGCGGGGCGGCCCACACCGAGCCCCCGAGAGCCGCGUGGUGGCCCAGGUGUUGACGCUGCUAGACGGCAUCAGUGGGGACCGCGAGGUGGUGGUCGUGGCAUCCACCAACCGGCCGGACGCUCUAGACCCAGCGCUGCGCAGACCGGGGAGAUUUGACCGAGAGGUAAAUGGGCGGGGCCAGUCUGACCUUUGUUCCUGGAACCUCGGCCUCUUCUGGCCUUGAUUGGCUGCCCCUAGGCGGUUGCCACUUAGGUUUGGCAGUCGGUGAGGCUGGAGUGGGGCUUUGUGUGGUGCAGAGAACCUGUUCUCUGUCCUUGUGUGAUCUGUGAGCCGGGGCCUGUUUUUCCCGAGUCAAAUUGAGAAGCAAGGUGGCCUUUAGGGAUGAGUUUUGUUGUGCAGGUCCUGAAGAUGAGUACCACCAGUAAUGUUAAUUGGGGAACUAGUUCAGCUAUAAGUGUAUUCAACUCUUAUGGAUUUGGAAUGAAAAUUAAAAUUAGGAUAGCUUCAAGAAAUGAGUGUGUUGAAAUAAAAAGGGAGAAGUCGGGAAAGAUCUAAAUCAAAGCAGGCAUUAAUUCUUCUGGACUUAUUCAUUCCUUGUCAGGACACCAGCAUCCUGACCCACAAGUGAGAAAUUACCCACAAUUGCUCUCUGAGUUGCCAGAAAGAUUGAGUACUCAAAAGCUGAACUAUUUUACAAGCUUUAGUCCCAAAUUGAUUCCUGAUUAAAUAGUUUGAAUAGUGGUUAAGUGAUAUUUGAACUUUGUGUUAGGAAUCUAAAGAGACAGAUGAUAAUUGCACACUUUUAGCUUAAUCUGUGCAUAACUUGAGCACAUUUGUUUCUUUUUUGCAUCAUCUAGUACUUGUCUCCUGAAUAAAAUCCAUAAGGGCAGGGACCUAGACUAUCUGGUUUACUGUUGCACCCUUGGCUGGUAGAACUUGGGAAGUUGUAAAAAAUAACAAAAUGUUGUUAAAUGACAUACAGAGGGCCUCUGGUUUUAUGGUGGUGUGAAUGCCAUAGUCAUUCAGUAGGAAACGUAUUUUGAAUUUUGAUCUUUUGCCAAGCUAGCAAUAUACUGUAAAAUGCUCUCUUGUGAUACUGGGCAGCCACGAGAUCAUGAGGGUAAACAGCUGACACGUUGACAACCGUUUUAUACUCAUCCAAACAUUCUGUUUUUCACUUUCAUACAGUAUUCAAUAAAUUGUAUGAGAUACUCAAAACUUUAUUGUAAAAUAGGUUUUGUGCUAGAUGAUUUUGCUGAACCACCAGCUGAUAAUGUAAGUGCUCUGAGCAUAUUUAAGUAGGCUAGGUUAAGCUGUGAUGUUCAGUACGUUAGGUAUAUUAAAUGCAUUAUCCGCUUACUGUAAUUCCAGCUUAUGAUGCAUUUAUUGGGAUGUAACCCCAUCUUAAGGUGAGGAAGAUCUGUAUGUAAUUUUCAUUGUGCAACUAUCCAGCCAGUGUUACUCCUCUGGAAAAUUAGGAUUUUAAUAUAUUCAGAAUCUAUGGCAUCCUUAAGAGUACAUAGUUGUAGUGCCAAAUUUGCUCAGUAAGUAUACACCUUUGAGAGGAUAUAAAUAUUAUACAAUGUUUUAAGCUGUGUAAGCUUUAAUUUCUCUUUUUUUGCUUUGCAUAUAGGUUGUCAUUGGGACUCCCACACUUAAACAAAGAAAGGCGAUACUCCAGGUGAUUACCUCAAAGAUGCCCAUCUCCAGUCAAGUCGAUUUGAGCCUCCUUGCAGAAAUGACAGUUGGUUACGUUGGUGCGGACUUGACUGCACUUUGUAGAGAAGCUGCCCUGCAUGCUCUCCUUCAUAGUAAGAAGGUAGGAAGCACUGAUUUAUGACUGUGUAUGUUGGCCUUUUGAUUAAUAUAGCAAAUUAAUUUGGGAUUAAACAAGUGGUAAGUACAUUUUUUUGGAACUUUUGAUACCUUCCACAGUUAUUUCUUACCUGUAUUUCUACAUCUCCGCUCCAUGGGAAUAGCAUAAGACUGAAGGUGGGGACAGAGGGCUGAGUCUUCCAGGUCUACCAGGACAUUUUCCCUCAUUGCCAAAGGGAACCACCUAGUGUGCAGAAGCCCAGAGCAGCUAGGGAAGAUAGCGUGGCCCCCAGAAGAAUCAAAUGUAUUUCUUUUUAAUUUUUGGUUUUGUUUAUUUUGAAGCAAUUUCAGACUUAGAGAAAAGUUGCAAAAACAGUACAAUUUCUGUAUGUGCUUUACCUGGAUUCUCCAAAUGUAGCAUUUUUCCAGUUUUGCUUUUUCCUUCUCUCUUCUGUGUUUUAAAUAUAUAUGUACUGUGUACGUACAUAUAUAUUUCUCUUCCUAUAUAUGAUAUAUAUAUGUCUGUGUGUGAAACAUUUGAGAAUGUACUGCAGCCAUGAUGUCCCUUUAACCUUAAAAUCUUAAGUAUAUAUAUAUUUUCUAAAAACAAAGACUUGAACCACAGUAUAAUUAUCAACAUGAGGAAAUUAACACUGACAUGAUACUUUUGUAUAAUCUCUGUAGACCUUAUCCAAAUUUGACUCUAUCCUAUUAAUUUCCUUUCUAGCAGAAAUUUAAAAAGGAAAAAAAAUAGUAAUCCAAGAUUACACAUUGCAUUUAGUUAUCCUGAUUUCUUAAUAUUCUUUAACCUAGAACCAUUUUUAGUCUUUUAUGGCUAACUUAUUAAGACUAGAGGUUAUUUUUUCUAUAGAGUAUUCCUUGGUUUGGGUUUCACUGAUGUUUCCUCAUGAUUGGAUUCAGUUUUUGCAUUUUUGGCAGAAGGGUCACAGAAAUACUGUGUUCCCAUUCCAUCUGUUUUUUCCUUAUUAAUAAAUAUUUUGUAGGGAAAAUAAACUUUUCUUUUCUUUUUUUGAAAGUAAACUUUUCUAACCCAGGAGAAGAUUGGGCACCUGGAAUUUUUCUCUAAACUUGUCUUUGACAUUGAAAUCCUUAAUUCAUGACUACUUUUCUUUAAAAUAUUUAAGAUGUUAGCUUUAAAUAUAAUAGUUUUCAACACUAUGGAUUGGAAAAUCUCUUCACUUUGUAUGUAAUAAGUAGUCAUUAAUCCCUAAACCCCUUCAGAAAAAAAUUAAUUUCAGCACCCAGAGGAUUCUAGGACAAAGUUUUCGAUCUCUAUUGUAACUAUUAUAACAUUAAAAUUGCCUUUAAUCUUGUAAUUUUUAAAAACCAGUUUUUAGCUUGUUUAAAUUAUAAAAGGAUGAUUUAUCAUCCAAGGUUUGUAAAACCUUUUUACCUAUAUAAUUUACAUCCUUCCUCAUUUCCAUUUAUUUUUACAGGUACUCUGAAGGUGGGAAGGAGUUAUGUGAACUUAUAAGUUCUCUUCUUCUGGGUUUAGAACCAAAACUGCUUGAAGACUUAAUGACACUUCUCAUGCAUAGAGGUGUGAGAAUAUAUGCCUUUUGAAGGGAGGAUGAGAGCACCAGGGUUUGGGAAGGGAGAUUUACAUUUAGGAUUCCCUCUGCUUUGAAGUUCCAGGUUUGACCUUAAACACCCUGGCUUAGGUGGACCAGCCAGCUGCUACCUCAGGAGGGGCCUGCCCAGGCAUAGCUACCGCAGGUGAUGGCUGAGUUCAUAAACAACCAGGGGAAGUGGAAGGAAGAAAGGCAAAAAGGAAGAAGGGACAGAGGCAUCUGGGAAGGUACUGGCUUCACCUUUUUCUUCUUUACCCCUCUGGCAGCUGAGGGGCUACUGCUGCCUCCAUCUAUACCAGGACAGACAAAGGAUGCAUUGAAGUUUGUUCAGCUUUUUGUGAAGUAAUCCCAUUAAAGGGUUUGAAAUAGAGUUUAAUACAUACACACACAGGGGAAAGAAUUUUAUCUGCCUAACAGGGUUAUUAGAAUCAAGUGAGAUAAUAUACAUAUAAGUGAUCUUAGUUAGUGUUACUUAAAAAUUAGUUAGGGGGUGCCUGGGUGGCUUAGGUCAUGAUCUCACAGUUCGUGGGUUUGAGCCCUGUGUUGGGCUCUGUGCUGACAGCUCAGAGCCUGGAACCUGUUUCAGAUUCUGUCUCCCUCUCUCUCUGCCCCUCCUCUGUUUGCGUUCUGUGUGUCUUUCUCUCUUUCAAAAAUAAGAAAGGUACCCAAUAUCUAAUACUCCUAGCCAAUUAGGAAAAAAAAAAAAACAUUAAAAAAAUUAUUUAAUAGCUUUCUUUGUGAGAAAUUAAACAAAAUAAAAAUAUUAUAAAGAAAGUAAAAAUUGCAUGAAAUCUCACCUCACAGAGAUUCUAAUUUUUAGGAACAUUGUUCAGAAUAGCUCUCUUUCUCUCUCUCUCUUUCUAUAUAUGUAUGUACUUAUAUAAUCUUAUAUAAAUGGGAUAGAAUAGUUUCUUGUUGAAAAUGGGAAUUUUUGGGGCGCCUGGGUGGCUCAGUCGGUUAAGCCUCCGACUUCAGCUCAGGUCAUGAUCUCGCGGUCUGUGGGUUCGAGCCCCGCGUUGGGCUCUGUGCUGACAGCUCAGAGCCUGGAGCCUGUUUCAGUUUCUGGGUCUCCUUCUCUCUCUGACCCUCCCCCGUUCAUGCUCUGUCUCUCUCUGUCUCAAAAAUAAAUAAGUGUUAAAAAAAAUUUUAAAAAAAAGAAAAUGGGAAUUUUUUUGACAACUAAGUGUUCAGAAUUUGAUAUGAGGGUAAAUCUUAAAUAUAAUACAGAUAUUACAAAUAGAUAUUAUAAAUAUAAGCAGUUUUUAACUGUAACAAAAAAUCUGUUUCACUAGAAUGAUCAAGGAAAUUUCAAGAAAGAUUCUCCACAAUGUAAUCUUAAAGUGAAGGUGGCCUUUCUAAGCAUAACAUAAAACCUAAUGCCAAAAAGGAAAUGUUUACUAAUUUGAUGAUUUGGGGAUGGCAAAACAAUAUAUAAACAAAGACAAGACAAAAGACAGACUGGGAAAAAAUACUUUGGCCUAUGACAAAAAGACCAAAUUACCUUGAUAUAGAAAGAAUUCUCACAGAUCAAUAAGACCAACAAUCUAAGAGAAAAUGGGUAAUAAAAUAUGAACAGGUAGGAGACAGUAAAAGGAUUACAAGCAGCCAAUAAAUGUGAAAAAUCCUCAACUUUACUUUCUUUAAAAAUUAGUCUCUUUCAGUUAUUUUUUAACUUUUUAUUUUGAAAUAAUUAAAAACUUGAAGGAAAGUUGCAAAAUAGAGAACUCCUGCUAAACCCUCCAUCCAAAUUCACCAAUUUUUAACAUUUUGCCAAAUUAGCUUUAUCAUUCUCUCUCUCCUUCUCUGUCUCUAAUUGUAUAUGUGUAUACAUAUUACUUAUUUUUUCUGAAUCAAUUGAGGAUGGGUUGCAUGCAUCAUAUCCCAUUAGUUAUCUAUUUCCUAAGAACAAGUAUGUCUCUAUACGUGACCACAAUAUGAUUAUGUGUACUCAUUAUAUUCAUGAAAUUUAACAUGGAUACAAAACGUUAUCAAAUCUACAGCCCAUAUUCUUAUUUUGGUAGUUGUUUCAAUCAUCUUAGCAUUUUUUCCCCUCCAGUACAGGAUCUUGUUCAGGUUAACAUAUUGCAUUUAGUUUUUAGUUUCUUUUAAUCUCCAGUACUCCCUUAGCUUUUUAAAAUGACACAUUUUACAUUGACAUUUUAGGUCAGUGAUUUUAUAAAAUGCUUUUCAAUUUGGGUUUGUCUAAUAUUUGUUCAUAGGUUCAGCUUAUGCAUGCCCAUUUGGAAUACUCCAUAAGUGAUAGUGUGUCCUUAGGGUAAUACACAUGAAGGCACAGGAUGUCUGCGUGCCCCUCGUUGGUGAUGUCUCUCAUCGGUGAUUGAGGUGAUUAGCCAGUCCAAGUUUUGUCCAGUUUCUCCACUGUAUAGUGCUGUGUUUCCCUUUGUAACUAAUAAAUCUGUGAAGAGACCUUUGAGAUCGUGCUCCUUGGCAUACUUCCCUCCCCUUUUUUGUACCCAUAGAUGAUUCUUACCCCAACAGCCUUUACUUUAAAUGGUUGCAAAAUAGCUAACUUUCUAAUUCCAUCAUUCCCUCUACCUCACUCUUGAUUGAAGAAAUUUAAUGAACGCAAUAGUGGUUACGAUUUCCUCUAUCACAUUGGCAGAAAUUUAAAAGUUUGGUGAUCUACAGUGCUGGAGAGGUAUGGGAAGAACAGCUUUAUAUUAUUGGUACAGCUUUGAGAGCAGUGUGAUAAUACCUGUCAAAAUCAUAAAUGUGCAUACUCUUAAAUCCAGUAAUUCUACUUGGAGGAAAUUAUAUAAAAUACUUGAACAUGUGCACAAGCACUUUCACCUGUAGCUUUGUUUUUAAUAACAAAAUACUGGAAACAACCUAACAUUCAACAGAAAGAUGCAGUUGAAUUAUGGUACACUCAUACAACAGUGUCAGAAAGAGUGAGGUUGAACUAUAUUAAUUGAUAGAAAAGAUUUCUAACAUAAGUGGCACAAAAGUGCAGGUUAAUUUGUACAGUGGGGUCCCAUUUAUAUAUCUGUUUGAAAAGAUGUAUGUGUCCUUACCGUCAUAAAACAUACUAGUGGCAUACACAGAGAGUGGUUGACUUCCUCUAGAGAUGUUAGUGGGGAGAGCUGGGAGAGGAGAGGAGACUUUUCAUUUUUUUUUGUAUUGUGUGUGUAGGAUUCUUUAUAAUGAUAGCAAAAUAGAUUUAUAAUUCAAAAGAAGAUUUAAAAAAAAAAAAGAAGAAGAAGUAAUUGUGCUCCUGUAUCACAAAAAGGCCCUGUAAUUUUUGGUCUGAUUUUGCUCUUUGGGGCAUAUUUCUUCAGAACCAGGACAACCCGACUAUUGAUGAAGCAGACUUCCUUGAAGCUUUCAAAAAGAUUCAACCCUCAUCCUUUCGAAGUGUCAUUGGACUGAUGGACAUCAAGCCUGUUGGCUGGGAGCAGAUUGGUGGCCUCGAAGAUGUAAAACUGAAGUUAAAACAGGUGAUAGAGAGAGUUUGCUUGCGCCAGUAGAAUGGUAGAGUUUAAGUGUAACACUUUUGUGAUGAAGACAAACCGCACUUGCUGAAACUAAUGCCAUCCUAACAUCUGAAUCCAAGGGUUACUUCUCAGUCCUUGUUUAACUGGGCUUCUAUAGGUGUCAGAUGCCAUUCAUCAUAUUUUCCUACCUCACCCUUCUCUUGUUUGUUGUUUUCUUUAAAGACUGUAUAACCUAGAAUGGAGUCAGCAGACUUUUUCUGUAGAGGGCCAGAGAGUAAACAUUUUAGGUUUGGUGGGCCAUACAGUCUUUAUUGCAACCACUCAACUCGGUAUUCAUGGCAUGAGAGCAGCCAAAGACAAUAUGUAAUCACUACUUGCGUUCUGAUGGAACUUUAUGGACACUGAAAUCAUAAUUGUCACACGUCACAAAAUAUUCUUCUGAUUUUCUUUUCAAGCAUUUAAAAAUGUAAGAGUGGUUCUUAGUUUGUGGGUGGUACAAACACAGAUUUUUAGUUUACAGGCCUGAGUUUGCCCUGGGACUGAUAAAAGCAGUUAUAAUACACAGUAUGGCCUGGGUGGCUACGGUUCUCACAGUGGAUGCUAAGGAGCACAACUCUCCAGAUCCUCUCACUGGCAUUGCAGUUUCAGAAAUUAAUUUUGUUCAUUUACCUUCAGGUGAUCCUGCCAUAAGGAACUAGAUUUCUCUAACCCCAUACAAAAGACUGAUGUAUAAGUAUCACUAAAAUUUAUUCAUCAUAACUAGAAGCUAUAUCUACAGUGAACCCUAGAAUCCUUGUGUCCGUGGAUCAUUGCAUUUAUAACAUACCCUAAUUUUUUACAUGCAUUGUCUCAUUUAAUCUUUACAAAGUGCGUGAGAGAUCAGCCACACUUCCUGUUGCGAACACUAUUUCUUUAGCUUUGAGAUGUUAAGCUUUCUUGCCUUUCUGAACAUUCCGUUCCCUAAUGUUGCCAUAAGUGUUAGUACUCCAAGCUCCUAGGAAUCCUGUUUUUGCAUUCUGUGAGUCCAUGAUCUCAAUAUCCAGGGCUUUAGCUGUCCCCUGAAAACUGUUCACUCAAAAAUCUUUAUAUCCAACACAGAUAGUUCUUUUGGUCAUCAGAGCUACUUAGCUGUCUGCCUACCAGGUAACUUCCAGGAAUCUCAAACUCAGGACAUCCAUAGCUCAGCUAAUCAACCCACCCUUCACACCUGGAUUCUCUACCUCUGUGAAUAAAGCCAGCAACCCAUCUCCUAAGUCAGAAACCUGUCUUCUAAAUGCAGGGGUCGUGCCAUACGUGCACGUAAGUUCCCCUUUGGAUUUAGAACAUAGUCCCUGCAGGGGCGCCUGAGUGGCUCAGUCAGUUAAGCAUCUGACUUCAGGCUCAGAUCAUGAUCUCAGGGUUCGCAAGUUCAAGCCCCGCAUUGGGCUCUGGGCUGACAGCUUGGAGCCUGGAGCCUGGAGCCUCCUCAGGUUCUGUGCCUCCCUCUCUCUCUCUAUCCCUCCCCAGCUCACAUUCUUUCUCCCUCCUCUCUCAGAAAUAAAUAAAAACAUUAAAAAAAAAAAAAAGAGACAGAGAAAUAUGGUCCCUGCAUAAAAGAGUUAAUUUUAUGUUUCAAAUCUAUCCCUUCCAGUACCUGUGACACAUCCAGCCUUACUAUUUUUGUAGUCAGAAUUAUUGCAAGAGACUUCUAACUGGUCGCCCUGCUUCUGUUUAUUUCUUUCCAGUCCAUUCUCCAUCCUGCUUCCUCAGUGCUGACUAAAACUUUCAAGGCUUAACACAAUCUGACUCCUACUUCCACUUUCAUUUCAUUACUCCUUGCUUCCCCUAUUCUCCUUUCUGUUACUACUUACUGUUGGGAUGAAUAAGAGUUUCAAGUGUCUCUGUGUGUAUUGUUCGUUCCCGGUGGAAUGCCCUUUUCUGGCCUCAUUGUUAGUUUACAAGCCUGCCUCCCCAACUAAAAUCUGAGUUCCCUUGCUACGGGGAUCUUAUCCUUUUUUAAUAGAAAGACAAUACAUCAGUAGUUAAGAGUUUGCACUUCCUGAUUUACAUUGCCUGGUGGGGGGCGGGGGAGGGGGACAGCCUUAGUUCUGCUGCCUCACUAGAAAUAAGACCUGGGCGAAUUACUUCACUGUUGUAAGUCUGAGCUUCUGCAUCUAUAAAAGUAUGAUGACAAUAAAACCACAUAUUCAGAGGUAAUGGGGACUUGUUUACUAUUUAGUUAACAUUUGUAGAAUGCUUACUUUGUGAAGGUGUCAUUCUAGGUAUGGGAAUUUAAGUGGUAAACUUUAUUUACAUUCUAGCCGAGCAGAAUGAUAAACCCAACAUGGAAAAAUAAUAAUUUCAGAUAGUGAAUGAGUAAGUGCUCCCAAAAUAAAAGAUGGGCAGUAGCAUAGAUUGGCGGGCGGGGAUGGGGGUGGGGUCUGCUUUAAUUAAAGUAGUUAGGGAAGACCUCUCCAAGGAAAUGACAUUUGAGCUGAGACUGAAUGAUGAGGGAUAGCCACACAGAUUUUGAAGGAGUGUUCAGGCAGAGAAAGAAUAGCAAACAAAGGCCCUGAGAUGGGAACAAACUGGGGUGUUUGGGAAAGAGGCUGCAUAAGGCCUUGUAAUAGGAAGGAGUGAUAGGAAGGAGUUCAGAUGUGGCUUUUAUUCUAAUUCUGAUGGGAAGUCACUGUAGGAUUUGAAGCAGGAAAUGAUGUGACCUGACUUAGGUUAUAAGAUCACUGGUUGCUGUGUGGAGAGUGGACUGCAUUUCCAGCUCAUAACAGGUACCUGAGAAUUGUUGAGUGAACACUUGAAUUUACUGGAUCAUAUGAUGUUUUAUCAUUAUACUAAAACAAUUGUCUCUUUUUAUGUACUUACAGAGUAUUGAGUGGCCUCUAAAAUUCCCUCGGGAAUUUGUCAGGAUGGGCCUGACACAGCCAAAGGGAGUUCUCCUGUAUGGUCCCCCUGGAUGUGCUAAAACCACCCUGGUGAGGGCCCUGGCCACAAGCUGUCAUUGCUCUUUUGUUUCAGUGAGUGGAGCUGAUCUCUUUUCUCCUUUUGUUGGAGAUUCAGAAAAAGUCUUGUCUCAGGUUUGUUUGUUUAUUUUCUCCCAUAUAGUUAAGUGUCCUUCUGAAUUUUCAUGAUAUGCCUUAAGGAUAAACCUUAGUUAUUAAAAAUAUUACUGGUCCUGGGGCGCCUGGGUGGCGCAGUCGGUUAAGCGUCCGACUUCAGCCAGGUCACGAUCUCGCGGUCCGGGAGUUCGAGCCCCGCGUCAGGCUCUGGGCUGAUGGCUCAGAGCCUGGAGCCUGUUUCGGAUUCUGUGUCUCCCUCUCUCUCUGCCCCUCGCCCGUUCAUGCUCUGUCUCUCUCUGUCCCAAAAAUAAAUAAACGUUGAAAAAAAAAUUUUUUUUUUUAAAUAUUACUGGCCUUUUUUUCAACUAGAAAAGUUAUGUAUAUUUGUUUAUAGAAAAUUUAGGAAAUAUAGGAAAGUGUUAGGUAAGAAAUCCUUUGUAAUCCCUACCUACUGUUAAUGUUUUGGUGAAUUUCCUUUAUUUUUUUGCUUUUGUUUUAAACUUGAGGGCAGAUUAUAUCUUUAUCACGAUUUUUUAAAAUCAUCAUUUAAAAAAAAAUUUUUUUUUUCAAUGUUUAUUUAUUUUUGGGACAGAGAGACAGAGCAUGAACAGGGGAGGGGCAGAGAGAGAGGGAGACACAGAAUCGGAAACAGGCUCCAGGCUCUGAGCCAUCAGCCCAGAGCCUGACGCGGGGCUCGAACUCACGGACCGCGAGAUCGUGACCUGGCUGAAGUCGGACGCUUAACCGACUGCGCCACCCAGGCGCCCCAAAAUCAUCAUUUUUAAAACUCCAUAGUAUUAAAUGUUUUGAAAAUAUGAUUUUUAACCUGUACAUAAUACUCCAUUCUUUCUUGUUCUGUUUAUUCAGUUCCCAAUUCUUAAACAUGUAGCAUCUUUCUCUUCUUUUUACAUUUUAAAAAUCAUAAGUAGUAAUACAUAAAGCAUAUAUUCACUUGAAUACUGAGUAAUGUAUAGCUUUUCAAUAAUUUUAUUUUCCCAACAAAAGGUAUUUCGACAAGCAAGAGCAAAUACUCCAGCAAUUGUGUUUUUGGAUGAAAUUGAUUCAAUCUUGGGCUCUCGAUCCAUCAGCAAAACAGAAUGUAAUGUUCAAGAGCGUGUUCUUUCUGUUCUCCUGAAUGAAUUAGAUGGUGUAGGACUGAAGACUACAGAGAGAAGAGGAAGUAAAUCAGAUCAACAGGGUAAAUACAAGGAGCUGAGAAAAAACGAAGAGGUAUUUAUUAGCCAGAAUAUACAAAACCCAGGCCAAUAUUAAAUACAGUGCAUAUACACUAGCUUUCCCUAUGUGGAUUCAUCUCAUAGAAGGAAUUAUGUAAUUUCAGUUUGACUGGAUGUUUACAGAGCUGCUAAAAAUUGUGAUUUGGCUAGAAAAGAUGAGGUAAAUUUUAUAAGUUAUCUUAAAUAUAUAUGAAUGUGAAUUUUCUUUUUCCUGAGAUUUAGAAACCUAACGUUACAUAUUGCAUAGAAAAGGGGUUUAUUCUUAUUUUUAUAUCCUGAAGAACCAGUGUUCAUCCCUUUCUAAAAGUUUUUAUAUGAAACAAAACAAAACAUUGUUAUUACCAAUGAUCUUAGUAAUUCACAACUUCCGAUUUUCUUGAGGAAUGGGUUUCCCUGCUUAUAAUGAAGUUAAAAUGACCUUCAGAAGCCCCUUCUUCCUUUCUGAGUCUCUUCCUAGAUAGAGUUUGAUACCCUUAAAUUACCCAACAGAUCCGUUUUCUUUUAUUCUUUCCUUGUUUUUACUUGUUUCCCAGUUGAAAAAUCAUUCCACAGGAGAGUCUUAUAGCUCUUGAGAAAUAUAUGACACUAGAAUCUGAAGGGGCCCAUGAGAUUUUCUAACCAAAUUUUCUUGUAACACAGGAAUUCCUUCUACAGCAUCUGACAGGUGUUCACUCACCUCUGCUAAAAUUUUGCAGAUACAGGGAAUUCACUACUUUGAGAGAUCACAUUAAUGGUGAACUACUCUGAUUAUUCAGUUCAAUUGAAAAGAAAAAAAUGUUUUAAUUCCAGUGUAGUUAACAUAUAGUGUUAUACUAGUUUCAGGUAUACAAUUUGGUGAUUCAACAAUUCCAUGUAUUACUCAGUGCUCAUCAUGAUUACUCUUUAAUUCCCAUCACCUGUUUCACCACCCACCCUGCCUCCUCCCCUCCCCUCUGUUUUCUAUAGUUAAGAGUCUGUUUUUUGUUUGUUUCUCUCUUUUUUUUUUUAACCUGUGUCCAUUUGUUUUGUUUCUUAAAUUCCACAUAUGAGUGAGAUCAUAUGGUAUUUGUCUUUCUCUGGCUUAUUUCACUUAGCAUUAUACUCUCUAGAGUCAUUCAUGUUGUUGCAAAUGGCAGGACUUCAUUCUUUUUUAUGGCUGAAUAAUAUUCCAUUGUAUAUAUACCAUAUCUUCUUUAUCCAUUCAUCUAUCAGUGGAUACUUGGGCAGCUUCUGUAAUUUGGCUAUUGUAUAAUUCUACAGUAGGGGUGCCUGGGUGGCUCAGUAGGUUAAGUGUCCAACUUUUUUUUUUUAAUUUUUGUUAAGGUUUAUUAAUUUUUGACAGAGAGAGAGAGAGAGAGAGAGAGAAAGCGAGUGCAUGAGUGGGGGAGAGGCAGAGAGAGGGAGACACAGAAUCUGAAGCAGGCUCCAGGCUCUGAGCUGUCAGCACAGAGCUCGGCACAGGGCUCGAACUCACGGACCAUGAGAUCAUGACCUGAGCCGAAGUCGGACGCUCAAUCGACUGAGCCACCCAGGCACCCCAGGUGUCCAACUUUGGCUCAGGUCAUGAUCUCAUGGUUUGUGGGUUCCAGCCUAGUGUCAGGCUCUGUGCUGACAGCUCAGAGCCUAGAGCCUGCUUCAGAUUCUGUGUCUCCUUCUCUCUCUGCUUCUUCCCCACUUGUGCUUUGUCUCUGAAAGCUUGUUUCCCUUGCCUCAGGAGACAAAAAUAUUGUUACAGCUGAUGCAGAGAAAUUACUGCCUGUGCUCUCUUUAAGGAUUUUUAUGGUUUCAGGUCUCACAAUUAGGUCCUUAAUUCAUUUUGAGUUUAUUUUUCUGUAUGGUGUAAGAAAGUAGUCCAGUUUCAUUCUUUUGCAUGUAGCUGUCCAGUUUUCCCAACACCAUUUGUUGAAGAGACUGUCUUUUUCCCAUUGCAUAUUCUUGCCUCCUUUGUUGAGGCAAAGGCACCAUAUAAUUGUGAAUUUGUUUCUGGGCUUUCUAUUCUGUUUUAUUGAUCUAUGUGUCUAUUUUUGUGCCAAUACCAUCAGUACCAUACUGUUUAGAUUACUGCAGCUUUGUAGUGUAAUUUGAAAUCUGGGAUUAUGAGGCUUCCAUCUUUGUUUUUCUUUUUCAAGGUUACUUUGCGGUCUUUUGUAGUUCCAUACAAAUUUUCGCAUUCUUGUUCUAUGGCAAGUGCUGUUGGUAUUUUGAUAGAGAUUGCAUUAAAUCUGUAGAUUGCUGGGUAGUAUAGACAUUUUAACAAUGUUUGUUCUUCCAGUCCAUGAGCAUGGGAUGUCUUUUCAUUCUUCAAUUUCUUUCAUCAGUGUUUUAUAAUUUUCAGAGUACACAGGGCUUUCACCUCCUUCGUUAAGUUUAAUUCCUCGGUAUUUUAUUAUUUUUGGUGCAGUUGUAAAUGGGAUUGUUUUUUAAAUUUCUCUUUCUGCUGUUUCAUUAUUAGUGUAUAGAAAUGCAAUGGAUUUCUGUACAUUGAGUAUCCUGUAACCUUACUGCAUUCAUUUAUCAGUUCUAGCAGUCUUUCGAUGGAGUCUUUUGGAUUUUCUUAAUAUAGUAUCAUGUCAUCUGCAAAUAGUGAAAGUUUUACUUCCUCCUUGCCAUUUUUGGUGCCUUUGUUUCUUUUUGUUGUCUGAUUGCUGUGGUUAGGACUUUUUUAGUCCAGUGUUGAAUAAAAGUAGUUGAGAGUGGACAUCUCUGUCCUGUUCUUGAGACCUUAGGGGAAAGCUCUCAGUUUUUUAUCACUGAGUAUGAUGUUAGCUGUGGGUUUUUCAUAUAUAGACUUUAUUAUGUUGGGGUAUGUUCCCUCUAAACCUAUUUUGUUGAGGGUUUUUAUCAUGAAUGGAUGUUGUACUUUGUCAGUUGCUUUUUGUGCAUCUAUUGAGAGGAUCAUAUGGUUCUUGUCCUUUCUCUAUUGAUGUAUCACAUUGAUUGAUCUGAGAAUAUUGAACCACCCUUGCAUCCCAGGAAUAAAUCCCACUUGAUUGUGGUGAAUGAUUUUUUUUAAUAUAUUGUUGGAUUCAGUUUGCUAAUAUUUUGUUGAGGAUUUUUGCUUUCAUGUACAUCAGAGACACUGGCCUUUAGUUCUCUUUUAUUGUGGUAUCUUUAUCUGGUUUUGGUAUCAGGGUAAUGCUGGCCUCAAAGAAUGAAUUUGGAAGUUUUCCUUCUUCUAUUUUAUGGAAUAGUUUGAGAAGAACAGGUAUUAACUCUUCUUUAAAAGUUUGGUAGAAUUCCCCUUUGAAGCCAUCAGGUCCUGGACUUUUUGAACUCGCAACAAACAAUUUUGAAUGCUUAGCCUGUGUAAGGCCUUGCCCUGACUGCUUUUCGGUAUUUCUUACCUUCAUCAGGAUUUACCCAUCUUCAGCUUAUGUUGUCAUAUUUCUGCCUCUGGAAAGAAAAAUAAAUAAAAAGUAAAGUAGAUCUCCAUCUUCUAGGACAUUAGAGCCAGGGUGUUUCAUAGCCAUACAUCUCUACCUGUUAGUCAUAUGCUUUGUCUUUUCAAGUCAUCUACCAAUCAUUCACUGGGGCUCAGGUACAUUCAGUAGGUGUUCUCUGCUGUGGUGUAGGCUUUCCAUUGGUUCUCACGUGGAGAGAUGUCCCCCAGGAUUGGCCAGUUCUUUCACCAUACACAGAAAGUAGUUCUUUGGUUAAUAAUUUGUAUUUGCAUACCUUGAGAUCGAGAAGGGGGUAUAAGCAUUCCCGUCCCAAGAAAAGGAUAUGCUUAUUUAAAAAUAAAUGGACCCUUCUUAUCUAUAUUUCUUAAAAAUGUAAUAACGAACAACUUAUUGACAUUACUUUUGUGUUGUGUAUUUUCCCUCAGUUAGAGUUGCGAGAAGUUUUUAAUAGAAAUGUCAUGAUUGUUGCUGCAACAAAUAGACCUGAUGUAUUAGAUGAUGCCUUAUUACGACCUGGAAGAUUAGAUAAGAUUAUUUAUAUUCCACCUCCAGAUGAAAAGGUAAUUGUACAUGUUUUACUCUAUGUUAGGAUUCUUAAUACAUCAGUGUUGGAGCUGUAAGGAGCCUGGCAGCAUUGAAUCCCAAACUGGAUAUAUACGUACCUGGUGUGUGUCUUACACUGGGCUCUGCAUUCUUCCUCGCCUCGUGGCCCUUCAUAAAGUCAUAAUUUUGAUCUGCUUUUGCUGGAUACUCUGGGCAUAUUUUCAGAGAAACAUAAGCUUAAAAGUUAAAAGUAGUUGCCUUAUUUCAUUAUUGUGUCAGACUGAAAAAAUAUCGAGCUUAUUAGGUAUACUCAACAUUAUUUUACAACUAGAAUGGAGGAAUCCUAAAAUGUCUGGAGAAUAUAUGUAUCUGUAUCCUUAUUUUACAGUGGGAAAAUCUGACGUUAGAGUGAUUACACAAUUUAUCCAUAGUCAAACAAUCAAUAAAUCUUUUGCCCUUAACAUCCACAGCCACCGAUAGGGAGAGACUAAUGACAAAGAAUGAAUUUUUUCCUCCCUUCCUAAAUAAUAAAUAAAUAAAUAUUUAAAUGUCUGUUUAUUUUUAAAUUAUGUCUGGAUAAGUCAUGUGUUUCCUUCUUAAUCCAUGUCUGAUAACACUAUUUGUACCCAAAAGAAGGGGAUUCAUCAUGUCUCUUAAAGAAAUAUAUCUACAAUCAGCUAUUUUAAAAAUGAUUAUAAAAGUGUUAGCAAUUUAUCAUGUCAUUAUUUUUACCAUUGUCAUAUGAGCCAUUGAUGAAGUACUUUUUCUUAUCUCUUCAGAAGUGAUUCUUUCUUAUUUAAUCAUUAAAAUAUACAUAACACUUUCUCUGUAGUAUGACAGGAAACACUCCCUUGAAAUAUUUUAAUCUAGCUUUGUGUCACACAUAAAUGUUAUAAGAUUAUAAACAUAUUACUUUUAAUUUUGUUCCAGGGCAGGCUUUCUAUUUUGAAAGUCUGUACCAAAAACAUGCCAAUGGGACCCGAUGUUUCCUUAGAAAACCUAGCAGCAGAAACCUGUUUUUUCUCUGGUGCUGAUCUUGGAAACCUUUGCAAAGAAGUAAGUUAAUUAGUGAAGGAACAUAUGGUUGAGAACAUUUCUUCAUUUAUUCAGAUCUUCAUUCACUUGGUAGCAUUUACUGAAGGACUGCUAUGUGGUGGGCACUGUGGAAGGUGAAACAGAUGUCGCCACUGCCCUGCCCUUCCAGAGCUUACAGGUACAUGGCGAGUUGCAGAGAGGCAAAUUGUAGUACUCAGUUGGCAACUGAAAAUAUGUGGUGAAUCAGGAAGUUCAGGGACUGAACCAGACUUGGGGGCAUCAGAGAAGGCUCUCGUGUGUAAACUGAGAUUGGAAGGAUGGUGAGACCAUUGACCAGGCUAAGGGAGGGGAGAAAAUGUGCGGACGACUGGAGUAAGAGAUAACAUGCCUUUAUUGAGGAGAUGGACAAUGGCCAGAUCACACAGGUCCUUGUAAGCCACUUUAAGGAAUUUAGACUUUGAGAGUAAAAGAAGCCAUCGUAGGUGUUUCCUUUUCCAUAACCUUUUAUUAAAUGUACUGUUCAGGAAAAUGCACAGAUAUAAGGAUAUGGUUCACUGAAUUAACAUAAAAUGAACACACUGUGUAACUACCAAGAAAGAGAACAGUAUCAAUACCCCAGAAGCUUCGCUUGGGGCUUUCCCAAUCUCUCUCCCAAAAGGGAAGUACUCUUCUGACUUCCAGCACUGGAGAUUAGUUUGCAUAUUUUUGAACUUUAUAAAGAUAGGACCCUACUGUAUACUUUUAUGUCUGCUUCUUUAACUCAGGAUUAUGUUUGUGAAAUUCAUCUGUGAUUUUGUGCAUAACAGUAGUUUGUGCAUGCCCAUCACUUUAUGGUUUAUGAAUAUACUGUGUUCAUUCUUUUGAACGUUUGGGUUACGACUUUUUUUUAUAAAUUGUGCUGCUGUGAACAAUCUUGUGUAUGUGUCUGUAUAUACUUAUAGAGAGAAUUGCUAUGUUAUAGAGUAUGUGUUUGACCUUUUCCUUUAUGAUCAGUGUUGUGUCCUAUUUAAAAACUCCUACUCUGGGGUACCUGGGUGGCUCAAUCAGUUAAACAUCUGACUCUUGAUUUUGGCUCAGGUCAUGAUCUCGUGGUUUGUGAGUUUGAGCCCUGCAUCAGCUCUGCACUGACAGUGUGGAGCCUGCUUGGGAUUCUCUGUCUCCCUCUCUCUUUCUGCCCCUACCCCAUUCAUGUGCACAUACUGUCUCUCAAAAUAAAUAAACUUAAAAAAAAAAAAAAAAAAAACUACUCUGAGGUCAGGGAGAUAGUCUCUCAUCUGUAAAUAUUUUUAUGGGCUCAUAGUGUAUAUAUUAUUAUUACAACUUGCAUUUUCUUUUUUCCCAUUUAAGGCUAGAGUUUAAUGUAGAAGAAAUGAUGAUCCAUUGAGACAACUUUUAAACACGAUAUUUAACUUUUUAAUAUUUGGUUAUGAGUGUUGGAAUUCUGAGAAGUGGGACUGAGGUUUUUACACUUAGGUUUUGAAGUAUUGCCAUAAAUUGUAAAAAAUGAAGCACAUUAAUUACUUCCUAUUGUUUGUCUCUUAUAGGCUGCCUUGCUGGCUCUGCAAGAAAAUGGACUAGACGCAACCACAGUGAAACAAGAGCACUUCCUGAAAUCACUGAAGACUAUAAAACCGUCCUUAAGUCGCGCGGACUUGACUUUAUAUGAAAACUUAUUUCAGGAACAAGGAUUAUCUAACUUAGAGGAUUUUUAAAAAUUACGUUACAUCCCUGCUCAAGGAUUAAUUGAACUGUGAACUUGCUCUAUGAUUUGCAACUUCGCAUUUUUAGAGUUUGUGUGUAUCAUUUCCUGUAAAUAAAAGGGAUAAGCACCUGAUAAGCUAAAGUUCAUCUUAUUUCUAAAAAGUAUAUGAAAAUACCAUAAUUUGGGAAGAGAGUAUAUGUAUGUUGAUUUUUGUAAUGGGGAUGGUGGUUGCUUUUGUUUGUUUGGGGUUGGUUUUUUUUUUUUUAAGUUUUAUUUAUUUUUGAGAGAGAGAGAGAGUGAGUGA
This 19090-nucleotide long non-coding RNA is filed under the name Lynx pardinus (Iberian lynx). Lineage: Eukaryota; Metazoa; Chordata; Mammalia; Carnivora; Felidae. The record is from RNAcentral.